AUGUCCACCAAGCAUAAUUUGAAACGGUUAUCACUUGAUUGGGCUAAUGGACCUUACAGCACACAUGUUGGAUAUGAAGUACAUACUAAUGCAGAAGGAAUAUUAGAGGCCCUUCGUCCUCACAAAAGGCUUGAAGUUUUACUGUUAUCUAAUUAUCCUGGUGCUAAAUUGUCAUCAUGGAUGCACAAUUCUACACUGUUAGAACAUAUCAUUGAACUUUCUCUGGCUGGAUGUAAGAGCUUCAGUGAUCUUCCACCAUUGUGGCAGCUGCCCUCUCUCAGGUACUUGGACUUGGAUAAUUUGGAUAGCUUGGCAAGUAUAUGCGUUGGUAACGAUGAUACAGACAAUGUGAAAUUCUGCAUUUCUCCACCACCCCUUUUUCCUAAGUUGGAAACCAUGAUAGUUUCCAACAUGCCUAAGCUAGAGAGAUGGCACCAGGAGGUGACAGGACAAAUAGCAGUUGUAUCAUUCCCUCGGCUCAAGAAGCUAAAUAUUUCUGAAUGCCCAAUGCUAGCAAGCAUGCCCAAGAUGCUCCCUUUGCUUGAAGAUCUACAGGUAAAGGAGGCAAGAGAUAUUCCCCUUUACCAUCUGAUGAAUCUGUCUGUGCAAUCUAAUCUUGAGUGCAAAGGCUCCAUUUCUGUCGAACCUGAAGGUAGUCGGCAGCCUAUUGACCUUCAUUUCUCGAGGCUUGGUGACUCUGACAUGAAACUGAGACUCAAAGGUUUGACGGAAAAUGUAGAGCGCAUUGAAGAGGAGCUGAAAAGAAUACCUUGCAGAUUUAUCAAGGAGCUGGGCAUAAUAGACUGUGACUGCCUUUUAUCAUCUGAACUAUCCCAAAUACAACGGAAUAUAUGGAACUGUUUUGGUUUUGUUGAAAGAAUGUGGAUUUCAGGCAACAAUAAUAUAGUACAAUGGCCAGCAGUGGAAUUCAGAAACUUGAAUCGUCUUCAACGUCUAGACUUGUUUGGCUGUCCCAACUUAACUGGCUCACUUCCAUCAACAAUAUCUGAUGACAAAAAUGUCCUCCUUCCCCGACUCCGGGAUCUUCGAAUUGUCGAAUGUGAAAAUUUGUUGGAGGUUCCAAAGCUGCCUGCAUCUCUUGAGAAAUUGCACAUCAUUGCUUGUCCAAAGCUGGUAUUCAUGCCAGCAAAUCUUGGAGACAUCAAAAAUUUGAGAAAACUCGAGGUAUUUGAGUGCGAGGCCCUGACGGCAUUUCCAGAUGGAAUGUAUGGAGUGCCUGCGCUCAAGAAGCUGUGCAUGGAGCGUUGCCCAAGGGUAGAGACACUACCGGAGGGACUCCUGCAGCAGCUCCAGCCCUGGAGAAACUAUGUAUCCGUGACUGCUCCAACUUGGAGGGAGCCUUCUCAAGAGGAGGCGCUUACUGGAAUCUGGUUGAAGGAAUUCCACAGAGAUCAGUUGGCUGAUUCCAUGCGCUAA
RNAcentral lists this ribosomal RNA (1437 nucleotides) under Triticum aestivum (bread wheat). RNAcentral describes it as "partial small subunit ribosomal RNA". Lineage: Eukaryota; Viridiplantae; Streptophyta; Magnoliopsida; Poales; Poaceae. The record is from RNAcentral.